RNAcentral lists this ribosomal RNA (433 nucleotides) under uncultured bacterium. RNAcentral describes it as "partial 16S ribosomal RNA". It matches the Rfam family "Bacterial small subunit ribosomal RNA", at positions 29 to 507 of the family's 1533-position model. The record is from RNAcentral.
AACGAACGCUGGCGGCAUGCCUAACACAUGCAAGUCGAACGAGACCUCCGGGUCUAGUGGCGCACGGGUGCGUAACGCGUGGGAACCUGCCCGUAGGUUCGGAAUAACUCCCCGAAAGGGGUCCUAAUACCGGAUAAUGUCUUCGGACCAAAGAUUUAUCGCCUUUGGAUGGGCCCGCGUUGGAUUCGCUAGUUGGUAGGGUAAAAGCCUACCAAGGCGACGAUCCAUAGCUGGUCUGAGAGGAUGAUCAGCCACACUGGGACUGAGACACGGCCCAGACUCCUACGGAGGGGAGCAGUGGGGAAUAUUGGACGAGGGGCGAAAGCCUGAUCCAGCAGUGCCGCGUGAGUGAUGAAGGCCUUAGGGUUGUAAAGCUCUUUUACCCGGGAUGAUAAUGACGGUACCGGGAGAAUAAGCUCCGGCUAACUCCGUG